GAUGAACGCUGGCGGCGUGCUUAACACAUGCAAGUCGAACGGAAAGGCCCAAGCUUGCUUGGGUACUCGAGUGGCGAACGGGUGAGUAACACGUGGGUGAUCUGCCCUGCACUUCGGGAUAAGCCUGGGAAACUGGGUCUAAUACCGGAUAGGACGAUGGUUUGGAUGCCAUUGUGGAAAGUUUUUUCGGUGUGGGAUGAGCUCGCGGCCUAUCAGCUUGUUGGUGGGGUAAUGGCCUACCAAGGCGUCGACGGGUAGCCGGCCUGAGAGGGUGUACGGCCACAUUGGGACUGAGAUACGGCCCAGACUCCUACGGGAGGCAGCAGUGGGGAAUAUUGCACAAUGGGCGCAGGCCUGAUGCAGCGACGCCGCGUGGGGGAUGACGGCCUUCGGGUUGUAAACUCCUUUCGCCAGGGACGAAGCGUUUUUGUGACGGUACCUGGAGAAGAAGCACCGGCUAACUACGUG
RNAcentral lists this ribosomal RNA (468 nucleotides) under uncultured bacterium. RNAcentral describes it as "partial 16S ribosomal RNA". It matches the Rfam family "Bacterial small subunit ribosomal RNA", at positions 28 to 507 of the family's 1533-position model. The record is from RNAcentral.